This 253-nucleotide ribosomal RNA is filed under the name uncultured bacterium. RNAcentral describes it as "partial 16S ribosomal RNA". It matches the Rfam family "Bacterial small subunit ribosomal RNA", at positions 524 to 776 of the family's 1533-position model. The record is from RNAcentral.
UACGUAGGGUGCAAGCGUUGUCCGGAAUUAUUGGGCGUAAAGAGCGUGUAGGCGGCCCGAUUAGUCCGCUGUGAAAGUCCAGGGCUCAACCCUGGAAUGCCGGUGGAUACUGUCGGGCUAGAGUCCGGAAGGGGCGAGUGGAAUUCCUGGUGUAGCGGUGAAAUGCGCAGAUAUCAGGAGGAACACCGGUGGCGAAGGCGGAUCUCUGGGCCGUAACUGACGCUGAGGAGCGAAAGCAUGGGGAGCGAACAGG